UCUAUAUCGGAUCGUAAAUAGUUGGCCGAUCCUUAUGAGAAUUUCACCAUAAAAUAAAUUUUCUAAUUAAAAUGUUUCAAACAAACCCAAGCAUCUUUAAAAAUUGCAAGGUUGUGCCUUGCCAUUUUGGCAUUCCAUUUUGGGCAACUUAAUCCGAUUUGCUUAAUUUUAUAAGGUAUAUCCGAUGUAUAUAAAUAAUAUAAGCUGCUACUAAACUGCAGGUGUAUAUCAGCGUCGGCUGCAUCUGAAGUUAGCUUUCCUUUCUGGCUCAUUAGAAGAUUAGUUCGUGAAAUGUACCUUGUAGCGGAUCCCUGUUAAGGUGUACCGCGGAAACUGUGGGUGAUGGAACCUAUGUUUGUUCUGGACUUUGGUUCAGUGGAGCCUAAAGUUUGUGGAGCAGUUAAAACUUUGCGUAGAAGAAAAAAAAAUUGGAAAUUGUCGGCCUGUGUUAUUAAUAAUUAGAAUUUAAUUGAUGCUGGCACAAGUCCCAACAUUCUCCGCCCGUUUAAAUUUCAACUUUUAACAAAAAUUCACAACGGCAUGGGACAGCUCCAUCAGAUAACCUUUUUUAUGAUACCAAGGACAAUCAUUCUCGGUUGCAGGUUGUCGUGUCCAUCCAGACCGAGAGUCAUCCAGCAAGCGCUUAAGCCAGGCGCUUAAAAUAACAUCCAAGAGUUCAUUUGAGACAUGGCCAAAACUCGACAUAAUUGCUGACUGCGAUGCGGAUUGAUGCCGACUGCAAAAUCCAAAUCCCGGGAGAAGGCGGCCGUUGCCGACACAAUCCCGGCAGCGAUAGACUUGUUAAUGGCGAUCUUGGCAUCAUCCGAAACUAAGGACUUAUUGGUUCGGUCAGCCUCAUCAGAAAAAACUACGGCGGUAUCCGGAGACAUGGCAGUCUUCACAAAAAGUGUGGCGAGAGUGAUGCAAUUGGGCAUUGAUGAGAUAAAGCGGAAAGCUGGGAGUAUUUCCAGAAUAAGCCACUCCCAAUUUCACUAUAACUCAGUCACUACAAUCCUGGAGCGUGGUGAAUUUAUCACCAAUCAAAAUUUCCAAAGGCUCUAGUAUCAUGAUGUUGAAAUCCUCCAUCAUCCACCUCCUCCUUCUGCACUGCAGCCUUGAAUUUAUAAUACAUGGCUUUCACCUCCUUCCAUCUCCGAAGAAGCCUUUCCCUACUUGCUGGAAGCGAGGUGCGUGUCGAGUCUCCAGACUAUGUAGCAAUGCAAGGCGGUGGGUAUUUCCGAAUUAUCCGAGGCACCUUUUUAACUAUCGCAACAACAAAAGGCGCGAUCACGUCGGUUUCACCAAAUGUAACGCUACGAGCUUGAAUAUUUGUUGGGGUGGUGCCAUCUUCGGCGUCUGAGACUUCAAUCUUGAUGGCCAGUUUUGUUUGAGAUCUGCGAUGUCUUUGCUCUGGAGGCGACGGAGUCCGAUCUGUUCACAUUUACGGUGACAGAGCUGAAGCCGAAUUUAGCUCCCCCCGGCCUCUAUGGAAGCUACGUUUAUUGAUGAUUAAGAGUUGGUCCCUCCAUUAGUUUCACCUUCGCCACUUGCCAGUUCGUUAUGAGAAAGUGCGGAUUUUAACACUGGAGCAUGAUGAGUGUCUAACCCGGCUCCAUGAUGGAUACCGGUAUCCAGAUGCUCGCUUGGGGCCUACAAGGAAUGUCACUCGGGCUCAGCGCAAAAUGUUUGGCAUCCUAGUAGACCUUGUCUAAAUUUUCUACCGCAGACUUGUAUAGUUCUAUGGACCACUUGUCAUCGCAAGUCUAUCUGAAAAUGCUCUGGAACCACACUACGUCUUGACAGACAGCUGCAGGGCCAGGUUCCCUGGCCAGGACCGCGAAGCAUUUAGCUUGGGUGACUUCUACCAACCUCUACAUGUCUCUGGGAAUCCUUCGUGAUUCCAAUCCUUGUUCGAUAACUCUGACCAAGAUGCGGUUUUUUGCGAUCUCCCCGUGAGCUCUCUGCAUGUCCUAUGAGGGUUUUUCGCUUGUUUUGCGUGUUUUCGCUUGGGUACUACUUUAAAUUAUCUUUCGAAGUAUUUUGAAGAUUUAAAAAAAAACUGGUAUAUUUUCUGGGAACAAAUGCCGGAAACAAAAUGCUGGGAAGAAAUGCCGACUAGCUCACAGAGUUUGUGGGAAAAUUCCACCUAAUUCAUUGAUUCGACGUGAUUUCCCGAGCCCAGAAAUAAUGAAGAUGGCUUAAAUAUACCUAAUGACCGAUCCGUUUGUAUGCUUCGAGACUGGGCUACCUGUUGUGUUUGGGUAAUGGCAUCCGCGUUGUCAGCAGAACUUGUUCAGAAUCAUCAGAAAUAAAAAUAAAAAAAUA
Long non-coding RNA from Drosophila ananassae, 2325 nucleotides. RefSeq lists it as uncharacterized. The record is from RefSeq and is a predicted model, not a curated record. The transcript has 2 exons. Lineage: Eukaryota; Metazoa; Arthropoda; Insecta; Diptera; Drosophilidae.